UCGAAUACAUUAGCAUGGAAUAAUAGAAUAGGACGUGUGGUUCUAUUUUGUUGGUUUCUAGGACCGCCGUAAUGAUUAAUAGGGACAGUCGGGGGCAUCAGUAUUCAAUUGUCAGAGGUGAAAUUCUUGGAUUUAUUGAAGACUAACUACUGCGAAAGCAUUUGCCAAGGAUGUUUUCAUUAAUCAGGAACGAAAGUUCGGAGAUCGAAGACGAUCAGAUACCGUCGUAGUCUUAACCAUAAACUAUGCCGACUAGGGAUCGGAAGGUGUUACUUCUUGACCCGUUCGGCACCUUACGAGAAAUCAAAGUGCUUGGGCUCCAGGGGGAGUAUGGUCGCAAGGCUGAAACUUAAAGAAAUUGACGGAAGGGCACCACCAGGGGUGGAGCCUGCGGCUUAAUUUGACUCAACACGGGGAAACUCACCAGGUCCAGACACAAUGAGGAUUGACAGAUUGAGAGCUCUUUCCUGAUUUUGUGGGUGGUGGUGCAUGUCCGUUCUUAGUUGGUGAAGUGAUUUGUCUGCUUAAUU
RNAcentral lists this ribosomal RNA (530 nucleotides) under Fusarium culmorum. Its description in RNAcentral is "SSU rRNA". It matches the Rfam family "Eukaryotic small subunit ribosomal RNA", at positions 795 to 1324 of the family's 1831-position model. The record is from RNAcentral. Lineage: Eukaryota; Fungi; Ascomycota; Sordariomycetes; Hypocreales; Nectriaceae.